UACGUAGGGUGCAAGCGUUGUCCGGAAUUAUUGGGCGUAAAGAGCUCGUAGGCGGUUUGUCGCGUCUGCUGUGAAAACUCGGGGCUUAACCCCGGGCCUGCAGUGGGUACGGGCAGACUAGAGUGCGGUAGGGGAGACUGGAAUUCCUGGUGUAGCGGUGAAAUGAGCAGAUAUCAGGAGGAACACCGGUGGCGAAGGCGGGUCUCUGGGCCGUAACUGACGCUGAGGAGCGAAAGCGUGGGGAGCGAACAGG
Molecule: ribosomal RNA, 253 nt
Filed under: uncultured bacterium
Lineage: Bacteria
Description: partial 16S ribosomal RNA
Rfam family: Bacterial small subunit ribosomal RNA
Source: RNAcentral